GCGAGGUGGAGCAAAUCUCAAAAAGACCGUCCCAGUUUCGGAUCGCAGGCUGCAACCCGCCUGCGUGAAGUUGGAAUCGCUAGUAAUCGCGGAUCAGCAUGCCGCGGUGAAUACGUUCCCGGGCCUUGUACACACCGCCCGUCACACCAUGAGAGUCGGGAACACCCGAAGUCCGUAGCCUAACCGCAAGGGGGGCGCGGCCGAAGGUGGGUUCGAUAAUUGGGGUGAAGUCGUAACAAGGUAGC
Molecule: ribosomal RNA, 245 nt
Filed under: uncultured bacterium
Lineage: Bacteria
Description: partial 16S ribosomal RNA
Rfam family: Bacterial small subunit ribosomal RNA
Source: RNAcentral